GAUGAACGCUGGCGGCGUGCCUAAUACAUGCAAGUCGAGCGGAUAAAGGGGGCUCUUGCAUCGAUUAAGUGAGCGGCGGACGGGUGAUUAACACGUGGCUAACCGGCCUUUGAGGAUGGGGUAACGUAGGGAAACCUAAGCUAAUACCGGAUAAGAGCUUGAAACGCAGGGUUCAUGAGUGAAAGAGGUAUUUGCUGAACCUAGGUCGGAUUACCUAGUUGGUUGGGUAAAGGCGUACGAAGGCGACGAUCCGUAACUGGUCUGAGAGGCUGACCAGCCACACUGGAACUGAGACACGGUCCAGACUCCUACGGGAGGCAGCAGUGGGGAAUAUUGGACAAUGGGCGAAAGCCUGAUCCAGCCAUGCCGCGUGUGUGAAGAAGGUCUUCGGAUUGUAAAGCACUUUAAGUUGGGAGGAAGGGCAGUAAGUUAAAACCUUGAUGUUUUGACGGUACCUACAGAGAAAGCAACGGCUAACUACGUG
RNAcentral lists this ribosomal RNA (484 nucleotides) under uncultured bacterium. RNAcentral's name for it is "partial 16S ribosomal RNA". It matches the Rfam family "Bacterial small subunit ribosomal RNA", at positions 28 to 507 of the family's 1533-position model. The record is from RNAcentral.